Molecule: long non-coding RNA, 813 nt
Organism: Pieris napi
Lineage: Eukaryota; Metazoa; Arthropoda; Insecta; Lepidoptera; Pieridae
Exons: 2
Source: RefSeq, a predicted model, not a curated record
GAACCAGAUGAACCGGGUAGUUGGGAUUUUUGAAGCCAGGGUAGAACGGGGGACUUCUAGGUGUAUUGACGGGGUAGAAGUUGGGUGGAUACCCUUGGUAUGGAAAUGGUGUGUCAGCUGGUGCUGCUGCAGGAUGGUAUAAAGUCGGAGGUACGUCCGGUGGUGGAUUAUAAUAAAUCUGAGGAAUUGGUGCACCUGAAAAAAGAAACACGUAACUGAAUUCGUUAAUACGAUAAACGAUAUUUUUUGACAGGUUUCAAACUCCUGUUAACGUUUAAAAUCGAAUAAUUCAUAUUAACACGACGCCUUUCAAUGUUCUGGCAAACAUGUUGUGUCUCUAAUCAUGUGCCAAGCAGUAAAUCGCAACUAUCGUCUCAUCGUGAUGAUAAAACAACAUCUGAGCGCAUCUUCCUCAUCAAGGGACUGCUAAACGACAGUGUAUAUCUGUGUCAGGAUGUUUAUGUGCCUGUGAUGUGUGUGGAUAAGUUAAACUAUUGUGUAUUCUCUUAUAUACGGGAUUCGAUUAAUUAUAUCUUUCAUAAAGCUAUUUAGCAUAUAAAAAUUUUUUAUGUGAAAUUUUAGUACAUUUUUUAAAUUGUCAUUGUAAAAAAAUAUAUACGUUGCCUAUGACAUUACUUAUGGGUUAAUGUCUGAUACUCUGGUAAGUAUAUCAAAUAAAUUAAAAAUAAAUUAAAAUAUCACUGGUUUUAGACGCCAAUCGUUGAUUGCUGAGGCGGGUAAUUGACAAUUGACAUACCUGAUACAUUGAAAUAAUUGUAUUAUUUAAUUUAAAUAAUAAAAUUGUUUCCUAAC